AGAGUUUGAUCCUGGCUCAGGACGAACGCUGGCGGCGUGCCUAAUACAUGCAAGUCGAGCGAGUCUCUUCGGAGGCUAGCGGCGGACGGGUGAGUAACACGUAGGCAACCUGCCUCUUAGACUGGGAUAACAUAGGGAAACUUAUGCUAAUACCGGAUAGGUUCUCGGAUUGCAUGAUCUGAGAAGGAAAGGCGGCUUCG
RNAcentral lists this ribosomal RNA (200 nucleotides) under uncultured bacterium. RNAcentral describes it as "partial 16S ribosomal RNA". It matches the Rfam family "Bacterial small subunit ribosomal RNA", at positions 8 to 213 of the family's 1533-position model. The record is from RNAcentral.